UUAGAAUAAAAGUAGUUAUAGUCUUCAUAACUCAAAGAAUUUGGCGGUUAAUGAAAGUUUUUAGAGGAAUCUGUGUUAUAAUUGAUACUCCACGAUAGUUUUUACCUAUUUUAUAUUUGUAUAUCUCUAUGGUUAAUAGAUUGUUUUUAAAGAAUAUUUUCUUUUUGGAUAUUCAUAUAUUUUAGGUCAAGGUGCAGUUUUAAGUAGGUAAAUAUGGGUUACUUUAUUUUUUUUUAUAAGGGAUAAUCUUUUUGAUUAUUUAUUAUAGGAUUUAAGAGUAAAUUAAAUUUAUUAAUUUUAUUGAAUAUU
RNAcentral lists this ribosomal RNA (309 nucleotides) under Aconophora marginata. RNAcentral describes it as "partial 12S small subunit ribosomal RNA". The record is from RNAcentral. Lineage: Eukaryota; Metazoa; Arthropoda; Insecta; Hemiptera; Membracidae.